This 465-nucleotide ribosomal RNA is filed under the name uncultured bacterium. RNAcentral's name for it is "partial 16S ribosomal RNA". It matches the Rfam family "Bacterial small subunit ribosomal RNA", at positions 28 to 507 of the family's 1533-position model. The record is from RNAcentral.
GACGAACGCUGGCGGUGUGCUUAACACAUGCAAGUCGAACGGAAAGGCCCCUUUGGCGGUACUCGAGUGGCGAACGGGUGAGUAACACGUGAGUAACCUGCCCUUUAUUUCGGGACAACUUCAGGAAACUGGGGCUAAUACCGCUAAGGAAUCCUUCCUGCAUGGGGGGGGUUGGAAAGCUUUGGCGGUUUUGGAUGGACUCGCGGCUUAUUAGCUUGUUGGUGGGGUAGUGGGUUACCGACGCUCUGACGGGUAGACGGCCUGAGGGGGUGACCGGCCACAUUGGGACUGAGGGACGGCACAGAUUGCUAAGGGAGGAAGAAGUGGGGAAUAUUGCACAAUGGACGGAAGCCUGGUGAAGCAACGCCGCGGGCGGGAUGGCGGCCUUCGGGUUGUAGACCACUUUCAGCAGGGGCGAAGCUUGUGGUGACGGUACCUGCAGAAGAAGCACCGGCUAACUACGUG